GACGAACGCUGGCGGCGUGCCUAAUACAUACAAGUAGGACGCACAGUCUAUACCGUAGCUUGCUACACCAUAGGCUGUGAGUUGCGAACGGGUGAGUAACGCGUAGGUAACCUGCCUAUUAGAGGGGGAUAACUAUUGGAAACGAUAGCUAAUACCGCAUAACAGUAUGUAACACAUGUUAGAUGCUUGAACGAUGCAAUUGCAUCGCUAGUAGAUGGACCUGCGUUGUAUUAGCUAGUAGGUAGGGUAAUGGCCUACCUAGGCGACGAUACAUAGCCGACCGGAGAGGGUGAUCGGCCACGCUGGGACUGAGACACGGCCCAGGCUCCUACGGGAGGCAGCAGUAGGGAAUCUUCGGCAAUGGGGGGAACCCUGACCGAGCAACGCCGCGUGAGUGAAGAAGGUUUUCGGAUCGUAAAGCUCUGUUGUUAAGGAAGAACGAGUGUGAGAAUGGAAAGUUCAUACUGUGACGGUACUUAACCAGAAAGGGACGGCUAACUACGUG
This 505-nucleotide ribosomal RNA is filed under the name uncultured bacterium. RNAcentral's name for it is "partial 16S ribosomal RNA". It matches the Rfam family "Bacterial small subunit ribosomal RNA", at positions 28 to 507 of the family's 1533-position model. The record is from RNAcentral.